GCUACAAUGAGUGGUGUUACUUGCUGCCUCCGGUUCCCUGGACAGCUUAACUCUGAUCUUCGAAAGCUUGCAGUUAAUCUUAUUCCAUUUCCUCGCCUGCAUUUCUUCAUGGUUGGGUUUGCACCUUUGACUUCUAGAGGAUCACAACAGUAUCGGGCUUUGACUGUCCCUGAACUAACCCAGCAGAUGUGGGAUGCCAAGAACAUGAUGUGUGC
RNAcentral lists this unclassified non-coding RNA (215 nucleotides) under Hevea brasiliensis (rubber tree). The record is from RNAcentral. Lineage: Eukaryota; Viridiplantae; Streptophyta; Magnoliopsida; Malpighiales; Euphorbiaceae.